This 462-nucleotide ribosomal RNA is filed under the name uncultured bacterium. RNAcentral describes it as "partial 16S ribosomal RNA". It matches the Rfam family "Bacterial small subunit ribosomal RNA", at positions 28 to 507 of the family's 1533-position model. The record is from RNAcentral.
GACGAACGCUGGCGGCGUGCUUAACACAUGCAAGUCGAGCGGUAAGGCCUUUCGGGGUACCCGAGCGGCGAACGGGUGAGUAACACGUGGGUGACCUGCCCUGCACUUCGGGAUAAGCCUGGGAAACUGGGUCUAAUACCGGAUAUGACCUCCUAUCGCAUGGUGGGUGGUAGAAAGAUUUAUCGGUGCAGGAUGGGCCCGCGGCCUAUCAGCUUGUUGGUGGGGUAAUGGCCUACCAAGGCGACGACGGGUAGCCGACCUGAGAGGGUGACCGGCCACACUGGGACUGAGACACGGCCCAGACUCCUACGGGAGGCAGCAGUGGGGAAUAUUGCACAAUGGGCGAAAGCCUGAUGCAGCGACGCCGCGUGAGGGAUGACGGCCUUCGGGUUGUAAACCUCUUUCAGCAGGGACGAAGCGCAAGUGACGGUACCUGCAGAAGAAGCACCGGCUAACUACGUG